AUUGACCGCUGGCGGCAGGCCUAACACAUGCAAGUCGAACGAGUGGCGGACGGGUGAGUACUGUCUGGGAAACUGCCUGAUGGAGGGGGAUAACUCCUGGAAACGGUCGCUAAUACCGCCCAUCAGAUGUUCCCAGAUGGGAUUAGCUUGUUGGUGGGGUAACGGCUCACCAAGGCGAAGAUCCCUGGCGGGUCUGAGAGGAUGAACAGCCACACUGGAACUGAGACACGGUCCAGACUCAUACGGGAGGCAGCAGUGGGGAAUAUUGAACAAUGGGCGCAAGCCUGAUGCAGCCAUGCGGAGUGUAGGAAGAAGGCCUUCGGGUUGUAAAGUAAUUUCAGCGGGGAGGCGUUACCCGCAGAAGAAGCACCGGCUAACUCCGUGCCAGCAGCCGCGGUAAUUC
RNAcentral lists this ribosomal RNA (403 nucleotides) under uncultured bacterium. RNAcentral's name for it is "partial 16S ribosomal RNA". It matches the Rfam family "Bacterial small subunit ribosomal RNA", at positions 30 to 526 of the family's 1533-position model. The record is from RNAcentral.